CAAGUCGAGCGCGAAUGGAGCAAUCCUAGUAGAGCGGCGCACGGGGUGCGUAACACGUGGGUAAUCUGCCUGGGAGAUGAGGAUAACCAGUCGAAAGACUGGCUAAUACUCGGUAAGCCCACGGGGACUUCGGUCCCUGAGGGAAAAGGUGGCCUCUGUAUACAAGCUAUCACUUCCAGAUGAGCCCGCGGCCCAUCAGCUAGUUGGCGGGGUAAUGGCCCACCAAGGCAACGACGGGUAGCUGGUCUGAGAGGACGAUCAGCCACACUGGAACUGAGACACGGUCCAGACUCCUACGGGAGGCAGCAGUGAGGAAUAUUGCGCAAUGCCCGAAAGGGUGACGCAGCGACGCCGCGUGAAGGAUGAAGGCCCUCUGGGUCGUAAACUUCUUUGGUAGGGGAAUAACAGGUCGCUACAGGCGGCCGUGAAUGUACCCUAAGAACAAGCAUCGGCUAACUACGUGCCAGCAGCCGCGGUAA
This 479-nucleotide ribosomal RNA is filed under the name uncultured delta proteobacterium. Its description in RNAcentral is "bacterial SSU rRNA". It matches the Rfam family "Bacterial small subunit ribosomal RNA", at positions 58 to 523 of the family's 1533-position model. The record is from RNAcentral. Lineage: Bacteria; Deltaproteobacteria.